This 409-nucleotide ribosomal RNA is filed under the name uncultured bacterium. RNAcentral's name for it is "bacterial SSU rRNA". It matches the Rfam family "Bacterial small subunit ribosomal RNA", at positions 355 to 776 of the family's 1533-position model. The record is from RNAcentral.
UAGGGAAUAUUCGGCAAUGGGCGAAAGCCUGACCGAGCGACGCCGCGUGGUGGAAGAAGGCCUUCGGGUUGUAAACACCUUUUUUAUGGGACGAAUUUUUGACGGUACCAUAAGAAUAAGAGGUUGCUAACUCUGUGCCAGCAGCAGCGGUAAUACAGAGACCUCAAACGUUAUCCGGAAUCACUGGGCGUAAAGCGUACCGAUAGACGGUUUUGUAAGUCUUUGGUGAAAGCCCGAAGCUCAACUUCGGAAUCGCCAAGGAAACUAUAAGACUAGAGGAACAAAGAGGGAGCUGGAACUUUGGGUGUAGCGGUGAAAUGCGUUGAUAUCCAAAGGAACACUAAAAGCGAAGGCAGGCUCCUGGGUGUUUCCUGACGUUGCUAGGACGAAAGUGUGGGUAGCGAAUGGG